ACAGAAAAGGGGAUCUUCCUCUCGACCUUUGUCCUGGUACUCGUGGUUCUUGUGUAUCAGUUUUAUUGGACUGAGUUGUCAAAGCUGAAUCAUGCACGGAUUCCACCAACCUCACAAUCUGGGGAUAAUAGUGGGGAUGUCCCCUAUACCGUACGUCAGAACAUAUCUGCUGCACGUGACAAAUGGCUCAUCCUAUCAGCGGUUGCUGAGAUGAACGACAUCAGAGUGGCAGGGUGGAGAGUAUUGUUGCUGGAAAGGUCAACAAAAUCAGAAUCUGCUUGCAGGUUACCAUGGUGUGUUACAAUGAACACAAUAAGCACAUCAGAUGAAGCUGCUGAUGAUGUAAACAAGGCUUACAUCUAUGCCAUAUCUCACGGAGCAAAUGCCGUGUGUCUCCUUCAUCACGUGAAUACCAUUGUGUUGGAAACCUUGAAGAGAAUAGCUGAUGAUCUUCCCCGGUCUGGCUUAGUUCUUAUGACAAACAAAACGUUCCUUGAACCAACCAUUACUGGAAACAAAUCAAACAGCCUUUUGAAA
Molecule: long non-coding RNA, 537 nt
Organism: Haliotis rubra (blacklip abalone)
Lineage: Eukaryota; Metazoa; Mollusca; Gastropoda; Lepetellida; Haliotidae
Exons: 3
Source: RefSeq, a predicted model, not a curated record